UUGAACGCUGGCGGAAUGCUUUGCACAUGCAAGUCGAGCGGCAGCGCGGGGGCAACCUUGGCGGCGAGCGGCGAACGGGUGAGUAACAUAUCGGAACGUACCCAGACGUGGGGGACAACUAGUCGAAAGACUAGCUAAUACCGCAUACGUCCUGAGGGAGAAAGCGGGGGAUCGCAAGACCUCGCGCGUUUGGAGCGGCCGAUAUCUGAUUAGCUAGAUGGUGGGGUAAAGGCUCACCAUGGCGACGAUCAGUAGCGGGUCUGAGAGGAUGAUCAGCCACACUGGAACUGAGACACGGUCCAGACUCCUACGGGAGGCAGCAGUGGGGAAUUUUGGACAAUGGGGGAAACCCUGAUCCAGCCAUUCCGCGUGAGUGAAGAAGGCCUUCGGGUUGUAAAGCUCUUUCGGCAGGAACGAAACGGCGGAAUCUAAUACAUUCCACUAAUGACGGUACCUGGAGAAGAAGCACCGGCUAACUACGU
This 482-nucleotide ribosomal RNA is filed under the name uncultured bacterium. RNAcentral describes it as "bacterial SSU rRNA". It matches the Rfam family "Bacterial small subunit ribosomal RNA", at positions 29 to 506 of the family's 1533-position model. The record is from RNAcentral.